This 499-nucleotide ribosomal RNA is filed under the name uncultured bacterium. RNAcentral's name for it is "bacterial SSU rRNA". It matches the Rfam family "Bacterial small subunit ribosomal RNA", at positions 8 to 503 of the family's 1533-position model. The record is from RNAcentral.
AGAGUUUGAUCCUGGCUCAGGAUGAACGCUGGCGGCGUGCUUAACACAUGCAAGUCGAACGGAACACCCUAGAAGGAGUUUUCGGACAACUGAUAGGACUGUUUAGUGGCGGACGGGUGAGUAACGCGUGAGUAACCUGCCUUGGAGUGGGGAAUAACAGCUGGAAACAGCUGCUAAUACCGCAUAAUAUAUCUGGGUCGCAUGGCUCUGGAUAUCAAAGAUUUAUCGCUCUGAGAUGGACUCGCGUCUGAUUAGCUGGUUGGCGGGGUAACGGCCCACCAAGGCGACGAUCAGUAGCCGGACUGAGAGGUUGGCCGGCCACAUUGGGACUGAGACACGGCCCAGGCUCCUACGGGAGGCAGCAGUGGGGAAUAUUGGGCAAUGGGCGCAAGCCUGACCCAGCAACGCCGCGUGAAGGAAGAAGGCUUUCGGGUUGUAAACUUCUUUUCUCAGGGACGAAGCAAGUGACGGUACCUGAGGAAUAAGCCACGGCUAACUA